UGGGUUGUGGCUCAGUGGUAGAGCACUUGCCUAGCAUGUGCAAGGCUCUGGGUUCAAUCCUCAGCACCACAU
Molecule: transfer RNA, 72 nt
Filed under: Urocitellus parryii (Arctic ground squirrel)
Lineage: Eukaryota; Metazoa; Chordata; Mammalia; Rodentia; Sciuridae
Also listed under: 2 other names
Description: Spermophilus parryii (Arctic ground squirrel) tRNA
Rfam family: tRNA
About the family: Transfer RNA (tRNA) molecules are approximately 80 nucleotides in length.
Source: Rfam by way of RNAcentral